AGGGACUGCUUUCUUUCAUUAAAACACCAGAUUUUUAAGUUUAUAUUUCUUUUCACACGGCACGAAACAGCAUGUCAUUUAAUAUUCAGAAGACGCUGACCCCCCGCAUGCACCACCCACCCACACGCACACACCCAUGGAUGUGCGCCCGCUCGCACACGCCCAUUCUCACACACACUGGCACUCACACAUUCGGGUGCAAUAAGCAUGCACGCGUGGUCGCACACACGCAUCUUCCUUGCCUUUAGCGUCAGUUCCGAUUCCGGGCCUGGCAAUUCCUCCGCGUCCAUGCGGAUGUCGAUCUGGACCUCAGCCUAUCCUGAUCCUCUCCCGGGAGUGACCAGGCGUGCACACGAGUAUCACCCCUCACUGCUGCUCAGCGAUUCGUCGAUGCAUCUCCGCGGCAGUCACCAGGCAUUGCCAUGCUUGCUUAACGGAGGAGAUGGGAGCAACUGAGAAAUUCACCACUGAGCUUUGUGCAAUUAGAUGAGAGAAACAACGUCCUACUCAGCCAAAUGCUUUCUUUGGCUUGAGAUGAUUUUGUUUUUCAUGGAGAAGUUGCAAGGCCUGGGAUGGCGUGGCACCUAGGGAGAGAGAACCUGGAGGCGGGAUAACCCGGCUGACAUCUCUUCUUGACAUUGGUACGAGGGUGAAGAGAAGAAGCUCACGGCCCCACGUCUCCCGUCUACCAGAGGGUCUGAGUGCUUACAGGUUUGUCCAGGAAAAACGCUUUGGUCAAUGUUUAAAAAUCAACAUAUUCACAUAACAUAAAAUUCAGGACUUAUGAGCAUUCUUUCAGUGGGUUUUGUAUAUUCACAAGGUUGCACAACCAUAACAGCUAUUGAAUUCCAGAAUGUUCUCACAAAGCCAAAAGAAAUGCUGUACCCCUAGCAGUCAUGCCUUCCCUCCCCAGCCCCCGGCAGCCACUAAUCUACUCUCUACAGAUUUGCCCAUUCUGGGCACUUCUUAUAAAUACAAUCAUAUAAUAUGUAAGCUUUUGUGUCUGGCAUCUUUCAUUUAACACAAUGUUUUUGAGCUUCAAACCUUCAUUUCUUUUUAUGGUUGAAUACUAGUCCAUCGUGUGGAAUUGUGUUUAUCCCUGCAAUCAGCCGAGGGAUACUUGGGUUCUUUCCGUGGCUUGCCACAGUGUGUUGUGAGUAAUAUUGCUUUGGACUUGGGGAUACAAGUUUUGUGUAAACACAAGUUUUCAAUUCUCUUAGGUAUUUGCCUGUGGAAUUCCUGGGUCAUGUUCACAUAUGUAUUAACAUAACAUAAUUCUAUGUUAAACUUCAGAGGGCCUCCCACCUGCUUUCCGCAGCGGGGGACACCGUUUUACCCUCUUGGCAGAAAUAACGAGGGUUCCCAUUCUCCGUAUCCUUACUGACACUUCCCCUUUCCAGAUUGCAGCUGUACUAAAUGGAUAGUUUUGACUUAGAGUUCCUUAACUCUUAUGAUGUUGGAUAUCUUUCUGUGUGCUUCUUGGCCAUUUAUCUUUUUGGUUGGUUGGUGGUUUGGUUUUGGCUGUACCUGCAGCAUGCAGAACUUCCCGAACCAGAGAUGGAACCUUUAGCACAGCAGUGACCUGAGCUGCUGCAGUGACAAUGCCAGAUCCUUAACCCGCUGCGCCACAAGAGAACUCCAUCUCGUUGGCCAUUUAGAUACCUUUGGAAAUAUAUCUAUUCAAAUCCUUUGCCCGUGUUUUAAUUUUAACUGGAACAUUUAUCUUUGUUAAGGUGGCAUUUUAAAAUGCUUUUACAUGCAGGCAGAGCUCAUUUUACUGCUCUUCAUUUUAUUGUGCCUCACAGAUAUUGUGGUUUUUACAAAUUGAAGGUUGUGGCCACCCAUGUUCUCAGAUGAUGGUGAGCAUUUUUUAGCGUUAAAGUAUUUUGUAAUUAAGGUAUUUACAUCAUUUUUUAGACAUAACAUUUUUUGCACACAGUAGACUAGCAUAAACAAAACUCAGCAAAGUAGUGCUGAGUUUUGAAGGGCCACAGACCAUUGCACUACAUAAGAUUUCCUUUCCUUCCACAGUGAAUUUUUCCCCCUGGGAAGCAAUUUUGCUGCCUGAUUCUGCUCAGAAUGCAGGCAUUAGGUCAAAGCUAGUGCCCUUCAGCAAAAGUAGGGUGAUUUUGUGAGAGAUCCUAUCACAGCUUUUGUGUGAAUGAAUACGCUCAUGGGUGCAAGACCCGCAUUUAACCCUGAGCCCUUCUUAAUCGCCAUAGGUCCUACCUGCUGUUUCUUAGUUAUACCUGCAUAGACUGCAAAGAAGGAUGGUGAUGGUUUUAUUCCUCCUGCCGGGAGAAGACUCGAACGCUGACCCAUGAACAUACAUGCCUGUGAACCAAUUUAGCACCUUGUUUGACUUAGACGCAAUUUACCACUUCAUCUUACGGUCAGGGCUUACCUGUGUUUCUCUUUUUUUAGAGCUGCACCCGUGGCAGAUGGAAGUUGCCAGGCUAGGGGUCAGAUUGGAGUAACAGCUGCCGGCCUACACCACAGCCACAGCAAGGCCAGAUACGAGCUGCAUCUGCGACCUACACCACAGCUCACGGCAGUGCCGGAUCCUUUCACCCACUGAGCGAGGCCAGGGAUGGAACCUGAGUCUUCGUGGAUACUAGUCGGGUUCAUUGCCACUGAGCACAAUGGGAACUCCUUACCUGUGUUUCUACCUGCCAAAUCUCCCUUGCUCGUGUGUUCAUGUAAUACCUAUGACCUGGGAUAAACACUUGGAAUAGUAACAUAAAUGCUACUCCUUCCAACUGGGUUUGAAGGAUCUAUGAAGACGCAAUGUCUUGAAAACCUUUUUCACUCGUUCGCACCCAUUGUGGGCUUGUAGGGCACCCAUUGUGGAUUAAUACAGAUUUCCCACCAUUUGCGCCAUUUCUUUUUCACUGAAAAGAAAUGAUGCCAGUGCUUUGUUAGAAUACCUGCCUGAUGGUCCUAUUUUGCUGAGUGUCACUGGUUCCAUAUGGGCAUUUUUGGAGUCAGGAAUGCCUGCUUCUUGAGCCGGCUUGGCAAAGGGACAGAGUGACAAAGAUGCCAGGUACCUAAGCUAAGGCCCCAGGACUGAGGCUGGAAUCAGGACAGAGUGUUCUCCCGGUGGUGGCCACACUGAUCUGGGAGUGGUUGGCUUAAGUGAGGGGAGUGGAGGUCAGUGCUUACCCACCUGUGUUCAGCAUCAGACACAUGUCCCCAGGAGGCUGCGAACAGAGGUUCAGGUGAAUAAUGAGGACCUGUGGGGACCACCAUGAGCUGCAUAGAUAGUGUCAGGCCGGUUAAGGUGGAAAGGCGCUAUAGGAUGCUGUGAACAUUCCAGCUCAGUAACUGCUUCUGUUGGGCGGUGGCCCAGUGGGACUUGAGGUGUCGUCCUCUCCGGAUGGCCAGAGAGCAGGGCAUGAUGAAAACUCAGGGAGCAGGAAGUUCCCUUGUGGUGCAGCAGGUUAAUGGUCUGGUGUUAUGGCAGCUGAUGUGUUAUGUUGCAAUUGCGGUGCUGGCUUGGGAACUUCCACCUGCCAUGAGUACAGCCAAACAACCAACCAACCAAACAAACAAACAAAAAACCUUGAGGGACAGUGAGCAGCCCUGAAAGUGUCCCACCCUGGAGACACGGGCCCCAAAUCCACAUUGAGAUCCUAGAGGAGAAGGAACUAUGCUUUAACUGGGUCUUUUUGGUGUUUUCAGCUAGAAAACUCUUCAAGAGAGGCCGAUGGAUGCCCGUAAACGCUGUAUUCCUAGAGACCAUGGUGUCACUUUAUAUGGGGCUCCAAAGUGCCUUGAUUCUCUAAUGAAAAAAAACCACCUUUAUUUUUGCCCUGUAUUUUCCCAAAAUGUCUAGAAACUUAAAUUAGGCACUACUAAGAACAGGUCUACUAAGGACAGCCUGCUAUCUGUCCUUAUGGACUUGGUCUACGGGAUCGUGAGAUUGGGGAUUCUUUAAGGGGCAGGGUUAGGGCCCUGGCUCCUUUAUCUCCUUCAGAGGUAAAAUGCUGCAUCUCCUCUCUUCCCAGUAAUUUCUAUAUGCUCCAUUACUCAGGGUCUCACUUGGCGUUUUUCUGUAAGGAGACAAUGGUUGAGACGGUUGGUAGGAGCCGAUGAUGGAGUUAAGACAUUAUAUGCUUUGUAACCCAGGGUCUUAGUGUCAUAGGAAACUGGAGUAAAAAUGACCCAGAUAUCUCGAUGACGUGUCCACCAAGGACAGGCUGUGGGAUUGUCUGAAUUCAGUGGCAUCGGAUCCCCUGUUUCCAUUUAUGCUCGGCCAGUCCCAGUGGUAAGAGUCCUUCAAGCUGCAGUCAAGGCCAGGAUAACCAGACUGCAGGACUUUUUCGAGAAACGCCAGCCCAUCAAUGCGAGGAUGUUGGUUUUCUCCAUGGAAACAGGCUCAGCAUCCCUGGGUGGUACUGGAUUGCUGGGAAGUGACUGGACUUACUGAAGCUACCUGCACUGUAACUCCUGAGAGAAGCCAUGCGAAGCCCCUCCCACCACCAUGAGCAGCGGGUAAGUCUGGACCUCCCAGAGGCUGAAGGGUCUAUGCUAAGUGAACAGACAAUAUUGGUCUAGCUCAGGGAUGUGGCAUUGCCCUGGUGAAGAGAAAUAUGAACCUAGAAAGCAAGAACUCUUCGAGAAAAACCUUGAGGUGUACUG
Molecule: long non-coding RNA, 4641 nt
Filed under: Sus scrofa (pig)
Lineage: Eukaryota; Metazoa; Chordata; Mammalia; Artiodactyla; Suidae
Description: lncRNA (ENSSSCG00050059803.1)
Source: RNAcentral